RNAcentral lists this ribosomal RNA (259 nucleotides) under uncultured Enterobacteriaceae bacterium. RNAcentral describes it as "partial 16S ribosomal RNA". It matches the Rfam family "Bacterial small subunit ribosomal RNA", at positions 355 to 606 of the family's 1533-position model. Lineage: Bacteria; Pseudomonadati; Pseudomonadota; Gammaproteobacteria; Enterobacterales; Enterobacteriaceae. The record is from RNAcentral.
UGGGAAGUAUUGCACAAUGGGCGCAAGCCUGAUGCAGCCAUGCCGCGUGUAUGAAGAAGGCCUUCGGGUUGUAAAGUACUUUCAGCGAGGAGGAAGGCAUUGUGGUUAAUAACCACAGUGAUUGACGUUACUCGCAGAAGAAGCACCGGCUAACUCCGUGCCAGCAGCCGCGGUAAUACGGAGGGUGCAAACGUUAAUCGGAAUUACUGGGCGUAAAGCGCACGCAGGUGGUUGAUUAAGUCAGAUGUGAAAUCCCCGC